RNAcentral lists this small RNA (705 nucleotides) under Pongo abelii (Sumatran orangutan). RNAcentral describes it as "processed transcript". The record is from RNAcentral. Lineage: Eukaryota; Metazoa; Chordata; Mammalia; Primates; Hominidae.
GGCAGAACUGACUGUAGAUCCCCAGGGGGCACUGGCAAUCCGUCAGCUGGCAUCAGUCAUCUUGAAACAAUAUGUGGAGACUCACUGGUGUGCCCAAUCAGAGAAAUUUAGGCCUCCUGAAACUACAGAAAGGGCAAAAAUUGUUAUCCGGGAGCUAUUGCCUAAUGGGUUGAGAGAAUCGAUAAGCAAAGUGCGCUCCAGUGUGGCCUAUGCAGUGUCAGCCAUUGCCCACUGGGACUGGCCUGAAGCUUGGCCCCAACUCUUCAACCUGCUCAUGGAGAUGUUGGUGAGCGGAGACUUAAAUGCCGUCCAUGGAGCCAUGCGUGUGCUGACAGAUGAGAACCAACUAAGGCUCAUGGUGUAAAGGAAAUGCAAAUAUAGCAGCUAAGGAUUAGAAGAUUUGAUCCACCAGAUACACCUUUUUCUUUGUUCUCAAAGAAGUUUGGAGAUUGAGGUGUUGCUGGAGUCCUAGAAUUUUUCUGACUUGCUGAAUCACCUCAGAAAACUUUUGGAAUUAAACCUAUAAAGUAUUAAUAAAUUGAUACCAGGGAUGAGUAUAGGAGAGUAAAAAGCAGUCAAGCACUUUAUUAGCAGAAUUAAAUUAUACUGUAUUUUUCAUAAAAACUUGUUAUUAUGCCAUCUAUCAUAUUUGUUUGGACUAAUUUCCUUGAAUUUCUAAAUAAAAUAGAACACUCACCAUUCAAA